This 253-nucleotide ribosomal RNA is filed under the name uncultured bacterium. RNAcentral's name for it is "partial 16S ribosomal RNA". It matches the Rfam family "Bacterial small subunit ribosomal RNA", at positions 524 to 776 of the family's 1533-position model. The record is from RNAcentral.
UACGAAGGGGGCUAGCGUUGCUCGGAAUCACUGGGCGUAAAGGGUGCGUAGGCGGGUCUUUAAGUCCGGGGUGAAAUCCUGGAGCUCAACUCCAGAACUGCCUUUGAUACUGAGGAUCUUGAGUUCGGGAGAGGUGAGUGGAACUGCGAGUGUAGAGGUGAAAUUCGUAGAUAUUCGCAAGAACACCAGUGGCGAAGGCGGCUUUCUGGCCUGUUCUUGACGCUGAGGCGCGAAAGCUAGGGGAGCAAACGGG